GAUUAAAGCAAGCAUAACAGCCACAGUGUUCCAGGAAGAAUCAGAAGAGGAAAUCAGGAAGGAAAGAGACUUUGUCAUUCCCAGUCAAAAUACAGAUGAAGACUGAGGAGAGACAUUGGCCCUUGCAGUUCUUCAUGCCUAGACGAAAGAGGGGAUAUAUUUUAGGAUUCAAGGGAGGUGGAGAAUUCUAGGGAAGAAGAAACUAGAGAGCCGAUGUGAAGGAAAUCUGAUGGAACCCUGCCCUGACUACAGGCCAACCUAUCCUUCACCUGUGACAAUACUACACCUCAUAUGGUUUGUGAUGUCACCUGUGCCCUUC
This is a long non-coding RNA of Ahaetulla prasina, 319 nucleotides long. RefSeq lists it as uncharacterized. NCBI's taxonomy places the organism in Eukaryota, Metazoa, Chordata, Lepidosauria, Squamata, Colubridae. The record is from RefSeq and is a predicted model, not a curated record. The transcript has 3 exons.